GCCUGGCUACAGUGCUGAAAAGAAACCUGGGGUUGUUCUUAUUUCUUCAAUUAGUGAUGAGUAGAAAGAAGUGUCCUAGCUAUAUAAAUGAAAUAAAGUUGAAAGUUGAGAACUGGGUUUGGGAUUUGUCUACACCACCACAAUUGGAUGGAGAUUCCAAUUUUAUGCCUGUUUGUCUAUCUUCCAGUUAUAUCAGUCGGAAACCAAGUGCCAAAAAGCAUUGAGAAAUUGGUGCAUAGCAGAGAUAACCAAUGUUGUGUGAAACUAUCUGAAAAAGAAUGAGAAACCGAAAAGUUGAAAAAAACCUGACAACACGCGACAAAAAAGCUUUGAUUCAAGUGCAUGAACUAAGUACAAUGCUCCUGAUAUUUGGUCACAUCUAUUAGCUUAUGAAAAGCCACUCUGAACCAGGACUAUGACCUUGAAAUUUUUUUUUUUCCAAAUAAAACUUUACAUCAUGUGUUGAUGGUUGUAGCUUCAGUCUCUCAGCUGCACACCUGCCUUGACAUGUUUGAUUUCCUUAUAGGGACAUAUGGGGGACUGUCCCCGGAAGUAGAAAAAACUCCAUCAUAUGUUCAAUUAUGACAGUUGUAUUAAUGCAAGUGGGUGUAACCUUGUUAUAUGCAUUUUUGCUUUGAGCUCUGUGAACAAUCACAAAUUAUUAACAGAUAAACAUUGUGUUUUGCCCCUAGUCUUCUGACGAUGGUGAUACCAUGAGCUUGGAUGACCUAAAUGCAAGAUUCCUCGUGGCCAGAGGGGCACAGCUUCUGCAACACUUGCAACACUUGCAACAACAGCAGCAGUGUUUGCCACAGCAACGGAAGACCGAGGACUUGUAGACCUGGAGGAAAACGACAGUAGAAGCAACAGGGUUGCUGUACCUGCGUUGCUCAUCAAACACCACCAUGAAAGGAGAUGUGCUGACCAUCAGACAGCAUGGAGUUGAGCAACUUGACGAUGAGGAUGAGGCAGGUACAGAGCACAAGUAGAGACAGAGCAAGAAGAAUGAGGCCAACUGCCAGAUCUGGCAGUGUGGUGUAGGCAAAGAUCGCCGUUAAAGAUGAGAUCUUUGAAUAUGGGAAAGCCCACCUCGACAAUGGAAUCUGUGAGAGGGUCUGUGAUGAUGUUGAGCAGAUCGGGCGCAUCUUCUCCUGUCUCAAGAUUGAAGGACUCGAUGAUGAGAGGAGACCAUGCUGACCACAAUGGAGGAGGAGGUGCUGGAGCUCUGCACCAGCACCGUGACUAACACCCCGAUCACCAGUCCAGCCACAGGGUUGGACAACACAGCAUUGUCCUGAAAGAUG
Thalassophryne amazonica is the source of this 1304-nucleotide long non-coding RNA. RefSeq lists it as uncharacterized. The record is from RefSeq and is a predicted model, not a curated record. The transcript has 6 exons. Lineage: Eukaryota; Metazoa; Chordata; Actinopteri; Batrachoidiformes; Batrachoididae.